CAAUAGCGUAUAUUUAAGUUGUUGCAGUUAAAAAGCUCGUAGUUGGAUUUCGGAUGGGACUUGCCGGUCCGUCGUUUCGAUGUGCACUGGCCAGUCCUAUCUUGUUGUCGGGGACUAGCUCCUGGGCUUCACUGUCCGGGACUAGGAGCUGACGAGGUUACUUUGAGUAAAUUAGAGUGUUCAAAGCAAGCCUACGCUCUGAAUACAUUAGCAUGGAAUAACACGAUAGGACUCUGGCUUAUCUUGUUGGUCUGUGAGACCAGAGUAAUGAUUAAGAGGGACAGUCGGGGGCAUUCGUAUUUCAUUGUCAGAGGUGAAAUUCUUGGAUUUAUUAAAGACGAACUUCUGCGAAAGCAUUUGUCAAGGAUGUUUUCAUUAA
This 379-nucleotide ribosomal RNA is filed under the name uncultured eukaryote. RNAcentral describes it as "partial 18S ribosomal RNA". It matches the Rfam family "Eukaryotic small subunit ribosomal RNA", at positions 592 to 976 of the family's 1831-position model. The record is from RNAcentral.